CUGAGGUCCAGAGAGGGACAGGACCCACCAGCAAGUGACAGGAGUAGGGUUCAAAUCCCGUCAACUCAAAGAGCUGGCAUUUGGGGCUACAGCCUUCAGCUCAGGUCUGAGCCUGGUCCCAGCAGGUUCUGGGUAGGUGCCAGGGAGAAGAGGAAGGAGGGGCAGGGAAGUGGGGGACAGAGCCAAAGGGGCACCAAGGAGCUGGAGGGACGUCCCCAAGCCCUGUGCCCCUAGAUCACUCCGCAAGCCCUUCCUCAUCCCGAGUCUCACCCAUCCUCGUUACCCAGUUGCAAACAGUGAGCCACAUGGCUUCUCCCAGUGUGCCUAGCAACUGCAUCCUGGGAACCCCAGAUACUCCCAAUAGGAUUUUUUUUAAAUCCUUUAUUUUAUUUAUGUAUAUGUGGUGCCGAGGAUUGACCGCAGAGCCUCACACAUGCUGGGCAAGCGCUCUACCACGGAGCCGCGACCCCAGCCCCUCCAAUAGGAUCUUAAUCCGUUGCCCCUUUAUUAAAAUAACUCCGGAGGGUAUAGAUCCGUGAUGGACCAUUUGCCCAGUGUGUGCAAGCACCCAAGAAAUAAAUUUACAAAAACUCUAGAGAGGGCACCCCAACCCUAUGUGGGUUCUCCUCCCUGCUAACGAAGCAAGAAGCUCGGCCUCUGAGCCUCAGUGUCCACGGUUGUAAUCUGGGGGUGUUCUGUGGGGAGUAGAAGGAGGGGUCAAGACCCCAGAGGUGCAGUUGUUCGUCCGCCCUUGGUUGUCCAAGGGCACCUGUCCUAACCGGUGUCCCCGCCACCCCCCAUUAUCCAGGUGGGGAAAGUGCAUUUGUUCAGCUGGGCCAGGGAUCCACUGUCCCCCAUCUGCGGCUGCAGACUUGGCCCC
This 880-nucleotide long non-coding RNA is filed under the name Marmota monax (woodchuck). Lineage: Eukaryota; Metazoa; Chordata; Mammalia; Rodentia; Sciuridae. The record is from RNAcentral.